RNAcentral lists this ribosomal RNA (490 nucleotides) under uncultured bacterium. RNAcentral describes it as "partial 16S ribosomal RNA". It matches the Rfam family "Bacterial small subunit ribosomal RNA", at positions 31 to 507 of the family's 1533-position model. The record is from RNAcentral.
AGGGAAGGCGGGGGGCAGGCCUAACACAUGCAAGUCGAAUGGUAACAGGAAACAGCUUGCUGUUUCGCUGACGAGUGGCGGACGGGUGAGUAAUGUCUGGGAAACUGCCUGAUGGAGGGGGAUAACUACUGGAAACGGUAGCUAAUACCGCAUAACGUCGCAAGACCAAAGAGGGGGACCUUCGGGCCUCUUGCCAUCAGAUGUGCCCAGAUGGGAUUAGCUAGUAGGUGGGGUAACGGCUCACCUAGGCGACGAUCCCUAGCUGGUCUGAGAGGAUGACCAGCCACACUGGAACUGACACACGGUCCAGACUCCUACGGGAGGCAGCAGUGGGGAAUAUUGCACAAUGGGCGCAAGCCUGAUGCAGCCAUGCCGCGUGUAUGAAGAAGGCCUUCGGGUUGUAAAGUACUUUCAGCGGGGAGGAAGGGAGUAAAGUUAAUACCUUUGCUCAUUGACGUUACCCGCAGAAGAAGCACCGGCUAACUCCGUG